Molecule: ribosomal RNA, 139 nt
Filed under: uncultured eukaryote
Lineage: Eukaryota
Description: partial 18S ribosomal RNA
Rfam family: Eukaryotic small subunit ribosomal RNA
Source: RNAcentral
UGGUGGAGUGAUUUGUCUGCUUAAUUGCGAUAACGAACGAGACCUUAACCUGCUAAAUAGCCAGGCCCGCUUCUGCGGGUCGCCGGCUUCUUAGAGGGACUAUCGGAUUUCAAGUCGAUGGAAGUUUGAGGCAAUAACA